GACGAACGCCGGCGGCGUGCUUAACACAUGCAAGUCGAGCGGUAAGGCCCUUUCGGGGGUACACGAGCGGCGAACGGGUGAGUAACACGUGGGUGACCUGCCCUCAGCUCUGGGAUAAGCCUGGGAAACCGGGUCUAAUACUGGAUAUGACUCCAUGACGCAUGUUGUGGGGUGGAAAGCCUUGUGCGGCUGAGGAUGGGCCCGCGGCCUAUCAGCUUGUUGGUGGGGUGAUGGCCUACCAAGGCGACGACGGGUAGCCGGCCUGAGAGGGCGACCGGCCACACUGGGACUGAGACACGGCCCAGACUCCUACGGGAGGCAGCAGUGGGGAAUCUUGCGCAAUGGGCGAAAGCCUG
RNAcentral lists this ribosomal RNA (356 nucleotides) under uncultured bacterium. RNAcentral's name for it is "bacterial SSU rRNA". It matches the Rfam family "Bacterial small subunit ribosomal RNA", at positions 28 to 385 of the family's 1533-position model. The record is from RNAcentral.